AUUGAACGCUGGCGGCAUGCUUUACACAUGCAAGUCGAACGGUAACAGGCCUUCGGGUGCUGACGAGUGGCGUACGGGUGAGUAAUGCAUCGGAACGUGCCCAGAGGUGGGGGAUAACGCAGCGAAAGCUGUGCUAAUACCGCAUGUGAUCUGAGGAUGAAAGCGGGGGACCAGGCAGCAAUGUUUGGCCUCGCGCCUUUGGAGCGGCCGAUGUCAGAUUAGGUAGUUGGUGGGGUAAAGGCCUACCAAGCCGACGAUCUGUAGCUGGUCUGAGAGGACGACCAGCCACACUGGGACUGAGACACGGCCCAGACUCCUACGGGAGGCAGCAGUGGGGAAUUUUGGACAAUGGGGGCAAGCCUGAUCCAGCGAUGCCGCGUGCGGGAAGAAGGCCUUCGGGUUGUAAACCGCUUUUGGACGGAACGAAAAGGCUCUGGCUAAUACCUGGGGCUGAUGACGGUACCGGAAGAAUAAGCACCGGCUAACUACGUG
Molecule: ribosomal RNA, 492 nt
Filed under: uncultured bacterium
Lineage: Bacteria
Description: partial 16S ribosomal RNA
Rfam family: Bacterial small subunit ribosomal RNA
Source: RNAcentral